The sequence is a ribosomal RNA, 437 nucleotides long. It matches the Rfam family "Bacterial small subunit ribosomal RNA", at positions 341 to 792 of the family's 1533-position model.
ACGGGAGGCAGCAGUGGGGAAUAUUGGGCAAUGGGGGAAACCCUGACCCAGCAACGCCGCGUGAAGGAAGAAGGCUUUCGGGUUGUAAACUUCUUUUACCAGGGACGAAGGACGUGACGGUACCUUAUGAAUAAGCCACGGCUAACUACGUGCCAGCAGCCGCGGUAAUACGUAGGUGGCAAGCGUUAUCCGGGUUUACUGGGUGUAAAGGGCGCGUAGGCGGGGAUGCAAGUCAGAUGUGAAAUCCAUGGGCUUAACCCAUGAACUGCAUUUGAAACUGUAUCUCUUGAGUGCUGGAGAGGUAGACGGAAUUCCUUGUGUAGCGGUGAAAUGCGUAGAUAUAAGGAAGAACACCAGUGGCGAAGGCGGUCUACUGGACAGUAACUGACGCUGAGGCGCGAAAGCGUGGGGAGCAAACAGGAUUAGAUACCCUGGUA